AGAGUUUGAUUAUGGCUCAGGACGAACGCUGGCGGCGUGCCUAAUACAUGCAAGUCGAGCGAAUCUUCGGGAGCUUGCUCCUGAAGGUUAGCGGCGGACGGGUGAGUAACACGUGGGCAACCUGCCUAUAAGACUGGGAUAACUUCGGGAAACCGGAGCUAAUACCGGAUAAUUCUUUUCUACACAUGUAGAAAAGCUAAAAGACGGUUUACGCUGUCACUUAUAGAUGGGCCCGCGGCGCAUUAGCUAGUUGGUGAGGUAACGGCUCACCAAGGCCACGAUGCGUAGCCGACCUGAGAGGGUGAUCGGCCACACUGGGACUGAGACACGGCCCAGACUCCUACGGGAGGCAGCAGUAGGGAAUCUUCCGCAAUGGACGAAAGUCUGACGGAGCAACGCCGCGUGAGUGAUGAAGGUUUUCGGAUCGUAAAACUCUGUUGUUAGGGAAGAACAAGUAUGAGAGUAACUGCUCGUACCUUGACGGUACCUAACCAGAAAGCCACGGCUAACUACGUGCCAGCAGCCGCGGUAAUACGUAGGUGGCAAGCGUUGUCCGGAAUUAUUGGGCGUAAAGCGCGCGCAGGCGGUCCUUUAAGUCUGAUGUGAAAGCCCACGGCUCAACCGUGGAGGGUCAUUGGAAACUGGGGGACUUGAGUGCAGGAGAGAAGAGUGGAAUUCCACGUGUAGCGGUGAAAUGCGUAGAGAUGUGGAGGAACACCAGUGGCGAAGGCGACUCUUUGGCCUGUAACUGACGCUG
RNAcentral lists this ribosomal RNA (757 nucleotides) under uncultured bacterium. Its description in RNAcentral is "bacterial SSU rRNA". It matches the Rfam family "Bacterial small subunit ribosomal RNA", at positions 8 to 748 of the family's 1533-position model. The record is from RNAcentral.